GACUGCAGCCAUACCACCCUGAACGUAUGCAAUCUUGUCUGAUCUCAGAAGCUAAGCAGGGAUGGACCUGGUUAGUAUUGGAUGGGAGAAGAAAAAGGAAUGUUUAGACA
Molecule: ribosomal RNA, 110 nt
Filed under: Microcebus murinus (gray mouse lemur)
Lineage: Eukaryota; Metazoa; Chordata; Mammalia; Primates; Cheirogaleidae
Source: RNAcentral